RNAcentral lists this ribosomal RNA (503 nucleotides) under uncultured bacterium. Its description in RNAcentral is "partial 16S ribosomal RNA". It matches the Rfam family "Bacterial small subunit ribosomal RNA", at positions 30 to 523 of the family's 1533-position model. The record is from RNAcentral.
AUUGAACGCUGGCGGCAGGCUUAACACAUGCAAGUCGAGCGGGGUGAUGGUGCUUGCACUAUCACUUAGCGGCGGACGGGUGAGUAAUGCUUAGGAAUCUGCCUAUUAGUGGGGGACAACAUCUCGAAAGGGAUGCUAAUACCGCAUACGUCCUACGGGAGAAAGCAGGGGAUCACUUGUGACCUUGCGCUAAUAGAUGAGCCUAAGUCGGAUUAGCUAGUUGGUGGGGUAAAGGCCUACCAAGGCGACGAUCUGUAGCGGGUCUGAGAGGAUGAUCCGCCCCACUGGGACGGAGACACGGCCCAGCCUCCUACGGGAGGCAGAGGUGGGGAAUAUUGGACAAUGGGGGGAAGCCUGAUCCAGCCAUGCCGCGUGUGUGAAGAAGGCCUUAUGGUUGUAAAGCACUUGAAGCGAGGAGGAGGCUCUUUUGGUUAAUACCCAAGAUGAGUGGACGUUACUCGCAGAAUAAGCACCGGCUAACUCUGUGCCAGCCGCCGCCGUAA